GAUGAACGCUGGCGGCGUGCCUAAUACAUGCAAGUCGAGCGAACGGACGAGAAGCUUGCUUCUCUGAUGUUAGCGGCGGACGGGUGAGUAACACGUGGAUAACCUACCUAUAAGACUGGGAUAACUUCGGGAAACCGUAGCUAAUACCGGAUAAUAUUUUGAACCGCAUGGUUCAAAAGUGAAAGACGGUCUUGCUGUCACUUAUAGAUGGAUCCGCGCUGCAUUAGCUAGUUGGUAAGGUAACGGCUUACCAAGGCAACGAUGCAUAGCGGACCUGAGAGGGUGAUCGGCCACACUGGAACUGAGACACGGUCCAGACUCCUACGGGAGGCAGCAGUAGGGAAUCUUCCGCAAUGGGCGAAAGCCUGACGGAGCAACGCCGCGUGAGUGAUGAAGGUCUUCGGAUCUUAAAACUCUGUUAUUAGGGAAGAACAUAUGUGUAAGUAACUGUGCACAUCUUGACGGUACCUAAUCAGAAAGCCACGGCUAACUACGUG
This 497-nucleotide ribosomal RNA is filed under the name uncultured bacterium. RNAcentral describes it as "partial 16S ribosomal RNA". It matches the Rfam family "Bacterial small subunit ribosomal RNA", at positions 28 to 507 of the family's 1533-position model. The record is from RNAcentral.